AAAGAAGAAGAAGAAGAAGGAGAAGGCGGAACUGAUUGAUUUUAAUGCAGCUUGAAAAUUAGUGAUUCAGAGGAUCCCGAGCUGGAGGAAGAGCUUCAGGCUGCUGACGAACUCCUUCAAGAUAUGCAGAAUGAUGCACAGAGUGUCCCCAGUGUCCAGAGAUCAGCAUCAAUGUCCACGUGAAGAACCUAGUUAUGUUGCCAGUGUCAACCCAACAAAAGUGUAUGGAACUGAGGUGCUCCGUCAGGAGCUCCUUCAGUUGUUGGAGGAUGGAGAAGAGGACGCAGCCAUGACUUGUGAGAUGGCGUCUGAGUCAGCUGCUACUCACUGGGCGAUCAGAAACAUGGUGUCCUCACAAAAGUGGAAAGAGGCCAGGCCUUGUCUUACAGACAAUAUGUUAGCUGCUCUGGAUCCACAGUCACACCGUGUGUGUCAGUGUGGCAAACAAGUAGUUGUGAGGUGUCUGGACUGCCUGCCUCUUCCGUUCCUUUGUGCUGACUGUGAUAUUGCAGUUCACACACGCUUUGUCCUGCACAACAGAGAGGCAGUAACAGGAGGGUUUUUGCAGCCUUCAUCAGAGUUUCACAAGCCAAUAGUUCAGCUGUUGCCUGUGCAAAGGCCAGACCAUGUGUGUGACUGCCCAGCAGGUAACGUUGAGGUUUCACCCGGCGCAAUUGUGGCUCUUGUAACCAUAAAUGGCCGUUAUAACCUUGCACUGCCAGUGGUGAGCUGCACCAGCUGUGGCCUAAUGUGGUCCCCCUCAGUUAAGGACAUCCUGGGUAGUGGAUAUUGGCCUGGCACCUUAAAUUUCUGCACCCUGUUUUCAAUGGAUUUCUUUCAGUCUUUCUAUGACAUUAAGAAGGCUGCACCAGGGAUGUCACUUAAGGCAUUUGUCAAAAUGCUAGAUGAAAGAACAGCCCAUUUUAGAAGGACUGGCCGAAUAUCAGCUGAUGCCUUCAGUAAAAGCUUGUGGAGUGGAGUGCUGUAAAGUUUAAGGUGGACAGGAUGUGCAAGGAGCCAAGGAGCCAUGCAUUAGCUGCCCUGCCUGCACUCCAGACAUGCUUGCCGUCUCAGUUGAUGGAAACCGUAAGCUUUAUCGCUUUCAAUCUAAUGCAAGCACUUCAGAGCAGGCGAACUUUGAAGGUGUCUUCAUUGAAAAAGAUGAGGAAGUUGCUGAGUUUAUGAAAUACAUACAGAGACACACAAAUCGUUGCUGUCCCGGGGAGAUGAGGUCUUGUGUGACUUAAGGUUAAUUCAUCUAAUUGUUAUGCAUUUGUUUAAAAAAAAAAAAUUGUCCCUGAUAGGGCUUAAUCAUGUCAUGUCUUUUAUGUUAAAAUCUUUGAGUGUAUAGGUCCCGGGGAAAGGGUUGUGCGGAUCUUCAUCUUGGACUGCAGCAAAGGAGUCCACUGGGAAGUUGGAUGAAGAGGGCAUGGAAAUAGCUGUUUGUCGCCACGGAGUCCUCUUAGCUGCAUUGAACAUGUUUCGAGGGGAGAUCUUUGCUUACCCCCUUUUUCUCCAGAGGAAGUUGGCAGCUAGCGUCCCAGGACAUAUUACGUUCCUUUGCUCCGAUGUGGCCUGUAAAUAUUUCCCAUAUUUAACCAAGGUGGCUCAGCAGUGCCCUGAGCUGAGGAACCUCUUGUCAAUGCGUCCUUUUCUCUCCGUCAUGCAUGCAAAGGCUCACACUUGGAAAUGCGAGAUCAAAUGGGGAGGUGCGUUUCAGGAUGGGGCCGGUUCAACAGUUGGAGAAGAGGUGGAACAAGUAAACAGUUUCCUGUCUAGGGCGGCCAUUGAAGUACAUGUCCAAAGCAGGGCGAACAGACUUGCUGACCAUCCUGGCUUCGGGGUGGAACAAAAGGAAAGUGGAACAACUGGGCCGCAGUUUGAGCCAGAGAUAUCUAAAGAUCAUAAGGAUCCUUAGAGAACAAGUGGAAAGCCUGAAUGCGACCAGAAAUGAGCUGGGUGUGGAUGACGACGCACUGCAGCAAUGGGUGGCCGAUGUGCAGAAAUGGCUGAAGAUAGUAACAAGAGGCGACACAGAAUUCGCAAGGUCAUCAUAGUUGAGAAGAAAUGCUUGGCGGCUGCUGUUGACGACUACAACAAGCUUGCUGAACCAACAAAGCAAAUCGUAUCCAGUGAUGCCCUCAUGCAGACCGACAUUUGGCCCUGGCAGAGCACAAGUGAACCUGCUGCUGACCUCCAGACAAAGAGAAAGGUCUUUGAGAAGGUGAUGGCUGUGAGGCGCCUGAGAGAGGAGGAGAUGAUCCUUUGCAGGGAGAUGCGGCAUCACUGGACAGUGUUGUGAAUGCGAUCUGUGGUGUUGGGGACAAUCUCCUCAGACUCCUCCCUUGUUGGCAUGUCAGAGGAUGCACAGAAGGGACUCCAUAGCCUGGUUU
Molecule: long non-coding RNA, 2393 nt
Organism: Oreochromis aureus
Lineage: Eukaryota; Metazoa; Chordata; Actinopteri; Cichliformes; Cichlidae
Exons: 15
Source: RefSeq, a predicted model, not a curated record